RNAcentral lists this ribosomal RNA (350 nucleotides) under Agrobacterium pusense. RNAcentral's name for it is "partial 23S ribosomal RNA". It matches the Rfam family "Bacterial large subunit ribosomal RNA", at positions 1 to 292 of the family's 2925-position model. Lineage: Bacteria; Pseudomonadati; Pseudomonadota; Alphaproteobacteria; Hyphomicrobiales; Rhizobiaceae. The record is from RNAcentral.
GAAGAAGUGAAUUAAGGGCAUUUGGUGGAUGCCUUGGCAUGCACAGGCGAAGAAGGACGUGAUACGCUGCGAAAAGCCGUGGGGAGCUGCGAAUAAGCUUUGAUCCAUGGAUCUCCGAAUGGGGCAACCCACCUUAAAUGCUUGGAAAAUCCAGUCUGUUUUAACGAACGGCCUGGGUUUCCAAGCAUUGUGAUAAGGUAUCUUACUUUCGAAUACAUAGGGGUAAGAAGCGAACGCAGGGAACUGAAACAUCUAAGUACCUGCAGGAAAGGACAUCAACCGAGACUCCGCAAGUAGUGGCGAGCGAACGCGGACCAGGCCAGUGGCAAUGAUGAAUAAAGCGGAACGAU